RNAcentral lists this ribosomal RNA (430 nucleotides) under Bacillota bacterium. RNAcentral describes it as "Firmicutes bacterium partial 16S ribosomal RNA". It matches the Rfam family "Bacterial small subunit ribosomal RNA", at positions 355 to 776 of the family's 1533-position model. RNAcentral also lists the same sequence under 1 other name. Lineage: Bacteria; Bacillati; Bacillota. The record is from RNAcentral.
UGGGGAAUUUUCCGCAAUGGGCGAAAGCCUGACGGAGUGACGCCGCGUGGGGGACGAAGGCCUUCGGGUUGUAAACCCCUGUCAGAGGGAAAGAAGGGUGUCGGCGUGAUAACCGCCGGCACUUGACGGUACCUUCAGAGGAAGCCCCGGCCAACUCUGUGCCAGCAGCCGCGGUAAGACAGAGGGGGCAAGCGUUGCUCGGAAUCACUGGGCGUAAAGGGCGCGUAGGCGGGAUGGCAAGUCGGUCGUGAAAUCUCUCGGCUCAACCGAGAAACGUCGGCCGAUACUGCCGUUCUUGAGGGAUGCAGAGGAGACUGGAAUUCCCGGUGUAGCGGUGAAAUGUGUAGAGAUCGGGAGGAACACCGGUGGCGAAGGCGGGUCUCUGGGCAUUUCCUGACGCUGAGGCGCGAAAGCGUGGGGAGCAAACGGG